Molecule: ribosomal RNA, 253 nt
Filed under: uncultured prokaryote
Description: partial 16S ribosomal RNA
Rfam family: Bacterial small subunit ribosomal RNA
Source: RNAcentral
GACGAGGGGUCCAAACGUUGCUCGGAAUCAUUGGGCGUAAAGCGGGUGUAGGCGGCUUAGAAAGUCGGAAGUGAAAGCCCUGGGCUCAACCCAGGAAGUGCUUUUGAAACUUCUAAGCUUGAGUAUGGGAGAGGGAAGUAGAAUUCCUGGUGUAGUGGUGAAAUACGUAGAUAUCAGGAGGAAUACCGGAGGCGAAGGCGGCUUCCUGGCCCAAUACUGACGCUCAGACCCGAAAGCGUGGGUAGCAAACAGG